RNAcentral lists this ribosomal RNA (460 nucleotides) under uncultured bacterium. Its description in RNAcentral is "partial 16S ribosomal RNA". It matches the Rfam family "Bacterial small subunit ribosomal RNA", at positions 338 to 795 of the family's 1533-position model. The record is from RNAcentral.
CCUACGUGAGGCAGCAGUGAGGAAUAUUGGUCAAUGGACGCGAGCCUGAACCAGCCAAGUAGCGUGAAGGAUGACUGCCCUACGGGUUGUAAACUUCUUUUAUAAAGGAAUAAAGUGAGGCACGUGUGCCUUUUUGUAUGUACUUUAUGAAUAAGGAUCGGCUAACUCCGUGCCAGCAGCCGCGGUAAUACGGAGGAUCCGAGCGUUAUCCGGAUUUAUUGGGUUUAAAGGGAGCGUAGAUGGGUUGUUAAGUCAGUUGUGAAAGUUUGCGGCUCAACCGUAAAAUUGCAAUUGAUACUGGCAGUCUUGAGUACAGUUGAGGUAGGCGGAAUUCGUGGUGUAGCGGUGAAAUGCUGAGAUAUCACGAAGAACUCCGAUUGCGAAGGCAGCUUACUAAACUGCCACUGACAUUGAUGCUCGAAAGUGUGGGUAUCAAACAGGAUUAGAUACCCCGGUAGUC